RNAcentral lists this ribosomal RNA (508 nucleotides) under uncultured bacterium. Its description in RNAcentral is "bacterial SSU rRNA". It matches the Rfam family "Bacterial small subunit ribosomal RNA", at positions 8 to 518 of the family's 1533-position model. The record is from RNAcentral.
AGAGUUUGAUCCUGGCUCAGGAUGAACGCUGGCGGCGUGCCUAACACAUGCAAGUCGAACGAAGCACUUUCCAGAUUCUUCGGAUUGAAAGAAUUGUGACUUAGUGGCGGACGGGUGAGUAACGCGUGGGUAACCUGCCUUACACAGGGGGAUAACAGUUAGAAAUGACUGCUAAUACCGCAUAAGCGCACAGUACCGCAUGGUACGGUGUGAAAAGAAUUUCGGUGUAAGAUGGACCCGCGUUAGAUUAGCCAGUUGGCGGGGUAACGGCCCACCAAAGCGACGAUCUAUAGCCGGCCUGAGAGGGCGACCGGCCACAUUGGGACUGAGACACGGCCCAAACUCCUACGGGAGGCAGCAGUGGGGAAUAUUGCACAAUGGGGGAAACCCUGAUGCAAGCGACGCCGCGUGAGUGAAGAAGUAUUUCGGUAUGUAAAGCUCUAUCAGCAGGGAAGAAAAUGACGGUACCUGACUAAGAAGCCCCGGCUAACUACGUGCCAGCCGCAGC